This 253-nucleotide ribosomal RNA is filed under the name uncultured bacterium. RNAcentral describes it as "partial 16S ribosomal RNA". It matches the Rfam family "Bacterial small subunit ribosomal RNA", at positions 524 to 776 of the family's 1533-position model. The record is from RNAcentral.
UACGGAGGGAGCUAGCGUUAUUCGGAAUUACUGGGCGUAAAGCGCACGUAGGCGGCUUUGUAAGUUAGAAGUGAAAGCCUGGAGCUCAACUCCAGAACUGCCUUUAAGACUGCAUCGCUUGAAUCCAGGAGAGGUGAGUGGAAUUCCGAGUGUAGAGGUGAAAUUCGUAGAUAUUCGGAAGAACACCAGUGGCGAAGGCGGCUCACUGGACUGGUAUUGACGCUGAGGUGCGAAAGCGUGGGGAGCAAACAGG